UGCCAGUGAUGAGAGCAAUGGUAAAUAUGUUUUCUAUGAUCUUUCAUGAUUACAGAACCACUACUGCCUUCCUUCUGAGGCU
Cajanus cajan (pigeon pea) is the source of this 82-nucleotide small nucleolar RNA. It matches the Rfam family "Small nucleolar RNA U83". The record is from Rfam. NCBI's taxonomy places the organism in Eukaryota, Viridiplantae, Streptophyta, Magnoliopsida, Fabales, Fabaceae.